CCUACGUGAGGCAGCAGUGAGGAAUAUUGGUCAAUGGACGAGAGUCUGAACCAGCAAAGUAGCGUGAAGGAUGACUGCCCUAUGGGUUGUAAACUUCUUUUAUAUGGGAAUAAAAUGUUCCACGUGUGGGAUUUUGUAUGUACCAUAUGAAUAAGGAUGGGCUAACUCCGUGCCAGCAGCCGCGGUAAUACGGAGGAUCCGAGCGUUAUCCGGAUUUAUUGGGUUUAAGGGGAGCGUAGGUGGAUUGUUAAGUCAGUUGUGAAAGUUUGCGGCUCAACCGUAAAAUUGCAGUUGAAACUGGCAGUCUUGAGUACAGUAGAGGUGGGCGGAAUUCGUGGUGUAGCGGUGAAAUGCUUAGAUAUCACGAAGAACUCCGAUUGCGAAGGCAGCUCACUGGACUGCAACUGACACUGAGGCUCGAAAGUGUGGGUAUCAAACAGGAUUAGAUACCCCUGUAGUC
Molecule: ribosomal RNA, 460 nt
Filed under: uncultured bacterium
Lineage: Bacteria
Description: partial 16S ribosomal RNA
Rfam family: Bacterial small subunit ribosomal RNA
Source: RNAcentral